Molecule: unclassified non-coding RNA, 170 nt
Filed under: uncultured fungus
Lineage: Eukaryota; Fungi
Description: sequence contains ITS1
Source: RNAcentral
UUAACUUAUUUGCUUGUUUUCUCAGAGAGGCCACAAAGAUACAGUAUAGUUUUGGCGCUCCGGCGGGGACCCCGAGGGGACGCCCGCCGAGGCAGCACGUAAGGUUCACAAUGGUUUGGGAGUCUUUUCAGAACUCUGUAAUGAUCCCUCCGCUGGUUCACCAACGGAGA